RNAcentral lists this ribosomal RNA (301 nucleotides) under uncultured bacterium. RNAcentral's name for it is "partial 16S ribosomal RNA". It matches the Rfam family "Bacterial small subunit ribosomal RNA", at positions 509 to 808 of the family's 1533-position model. The record is from RNAcentral.
CAGUAGCCGCGGGAAUACGAAGGGUGCAAGCGUUAAUCGGAAUUACUGGGCGUAAAGCGUGCGUAGGCGGUUUGUUAAGUCUGUUGUGGAAUCCCCGGGCUCAACCUGGGAAUGGCAAUGGAUACUGGCAAGCUAGAGUGUGUCAGAGGAUGGUGGAAUUCCCGGUGUAGCGGUGAAAUGCGUAGAGAUCGGGAGGAACAUCAGUGUCGAAGGCGGCCAUCUGGACAACACUGACGCUGAGGCACGAAAGCGUGGGGAGCAAACAGGAUUAGAUACCCGCGUAGUCCCUGUCUCUUAUACA